Long non-coding RNA from Neodiprion virginianus, 904 nucleotides. RefSeq lists it as uncharacterized. NCBI's taxonomy places the organism in Eukaryota, Metazoa, Arthropoda, Insecta, Hymenoptera, Diprionidae. The record is from RefSeq and is a predicted model, not a curated record. The transcript is spliced from 3 exons.
UACGAACGUGACGCACUCCGUCCGAGGACCCUCCUCCGACACCACCGCACGUUUUCUGCACACGAGUGCGACGAAGGGGUGCGCAAUGCUCGAUUAGUGCAUCGGACUCAUCACCGCGCUCCUGUAAUAUCGAUCGAGUGCAACUGAUUGUGUAAUUGUAAUUAAGGCAAUCUUGUAAUCGACGACGAUAAGUCGGUAUAAUUAAUGAACCGAGUCGUGCUGACGACGCUCCAAGUGUCUAUCUGGCCGCACGAUCGCUGGCGGUUCUCUGUCACGGGACAAAAGUUUCAGGGCCAAGGUACGAGAAAUCGCGAGUUCUGAAUCAGACGCGAGAAGGUGAUAUCGGCGGACGAGUCUCUCGACCCAAGGGGAGGCAACGAGCGGAUACAGAGAGAGCAUGAACGCCGAGACAUGCCGCAGUUGCACUUCGGGUAAGCACGUGCAGAUUGUAAUAUGCGGCACUGCGACAGCAGGGUACCAAUGUGGUACUCGAGCUCUGUUAUAAAACAGAAUUAGUUCUGCACAGGACGUAACACCAUAGAAGCACCGGGCAGAAGCGCACCGCAGCUUUAUGGGCCACAGCUUUUUUCUCCCCCUGUUUGAACAGGAAAGACAAUCGGCGAGAUGGCAAACCGCAGGAAAGUUGAGACGCCUUCGCUUGAUUAUUUCCUCCUCAGCUCCCUGGCUUUCACAUUUCAAUUAAAUUCUUUAAAUUUCAUUCAACGCCGGUAUUCAACAGCUUUGACGGUUACGAGCAAAACCGAUUCAUCGGAAUUCAUAAAUUUUUCUAAUGAUACCGAUCCGUCCUCGUGUGGCUAUAUUAUGCUUUUAGCUUGAUAGAAAGUGCUUUUUAAUAUUAUUAAGAUUGUUGUUGUUAUCAUUAUUUUUUCGUUAGAAAGUAGUA